GUAAAGUGAAACCGCGAAUGGCUCAUUAAAUCAGCUACAAUUUAUUAGAUCGUACACUUACAUGGAUAACUGUGGGAAUUCUAGAGCUAAUACAUGCCGAGAGUCUCUGCCAGUAAUGGCAGAGCGCAGUUAUUAGACCAAAACCAUCCGUGUUUCCCGGCACGAAACUUUGGUGACUCUGGAUAACCAUCAGUUGAUCGCACGGCCUUGCGCCGGCGACGUAUCUUUCAAGUGUCUGCCCUAUCAACUUUCGAUGGUACGUUAUAUGCCUACCAUGGUGAUUACGGGUAACGGGGAAUCAGGGUUCGAUUCCGGAGAGGGAGCCUGAGAAAUGGCUACCACAUCCAAGGAUGGCAGCAGGCGCGCAAAUUACCCACUCCCAGUUCGGGGAGGUAGUGACGAAAAAUAACGAUGCGGGACUCUAAGAGGCCCCGCAAUCGGAAUGAGUACACCUUAAAUCG
This 461-nucleotide ribosomal RNA is filed under the name uncultured eukaryote. RNAcentral describes it as "bacterial SSU rRNA". It matches the Rfam family "Eukaryotic small subunit ribosomal RNA", at positions 76 to 532 of the family's 1831-position model. The record is from RNAcentral.